RNAcentral lists this ribosomal RNA (301 nucleotides) under uncultured bacterium. RNAcentral's name for it is "partial 16S ribosomal RNA". It matches the Rfam family "Bacterial small subunit ribosomal RNA", at positions 509 to 807 of the family's 1533-position model. The record is from RNAcentral.
CAGCAGCCACGGGAACACAGAGGGUGCAAGCGUUAAUCGGAAUUGCUGGGCGUAAAGCGCGCGUAGGUGGUUCGCCAAGUUGGAUGUGAAAUCCCCGGGCUCAACCUGGGAACUGCAUCCAAAACUGGCGAGCUAGAGUAUGGUAGAGGGUGGUGGAAUUUCCUGUGUAGCGGUGAAAUGCGUAGAUAUAGGAAGGAACAUCAGUGGCGAAGGCGACCACCUGGACUGAUACUGACACUGAGGUGCGAAAGCGUGGGGAGCAAACAGGAUUAGAUACCCCAGUAGUCCCUGUCUCUUAUAC